AAAUUUGAUGGUCAUUGUUUUAAGUGCACGUUGUUAUGUUACUAAUACAAAAUUCUCAUUUAAUCUAUAAGUUUUUUGUUAUUAUUAUUUUAAAAAAAAUCAUAAAGUAUUGUUUUGGUAAAAAAAAAAAUAUUUUUGAAAUAAUUACUAUCUAUCAUAUUUACCAUUGAGUCUGUAGUAUCCCAUAUACACUUAAGUGUCC
This 202-nucleotide long non-coding RNA is filed under the name Lathyrus oleraceus (garden pea). RNAcentral describes it as "Pisum sativum (pea) long non-coding RNA (PSAT_LNC026550)". Lineage: Eukaryota; Viridiplantae; Streptophyta; Magnoliopsida; Fabales; Fabaceae. The record is from RNAcentral.